Long non-coding RNA from Anarrhichthys ocellatus (wolf-eel), 2892 nucleotides. RefSeq lists it as uncharacterized. NCBI's taxonomy places the organism in Eukaryota, Metazoa, Chordata, Actinopteri, Perciformes, Anarhichadidae. The transcript has 2 exons. The record is from RefSeq and is a predicted model, not a curated record.
UUGCGCAUAACAAUGCGAUUAAUCGCAAAAAAAUAAUGCGAUUUAAAAAUAUUAAUCGUUGCCCAGCACUACAUUUAAUAUAACUAGCAGGUCAGUGGAAAUGCAGCUUAGCAAAUGGAACAAAGCUACAUUCUGUGAUUUGGGACCAGCGGUGGGAUACGUACACGUCAUUCUUUUAAAACACGCUCUAUUUUCAUGCUCUUUUUUUGGCUUUCUGGUAGCUUAUUUACAUGCAAAGUAAAUUCAAGGAUUCAAGGAUCAUUUGUUGUCAUUAUGCAACACAGGGGUGCACAACAAUAUUUUGCUACACAAGAAAAACAUGAAACAUAGUCCUGCAGGUCUGGCUGGUUGGUCGGCCGUGGGCGGUGAUCGCCUCAAGGGCUGCAGCACUUCCUCCUUCCAACGCGUCCUCUUCCAAUGCUGAUGAAGUAAUUCUGUCCUUUGCAAUUAGUGCUCCAACAAUGUCACUGUGUCCUUGCUCCCGCAGGCUGGUCCUGUGGUGUGUGGAUGGAUGAAUGGUGACAUGUAGUGUUCAAGAGCUUUGAGUGGUCGGAAGACUAGAAAAGAGAAAUACAAGUACAGUCCAUGUACCAUUUAUCUCUGACAUUAUCCUAAGACAAGUCGGCCACAGUGGUAGAAACCACAUGUGAGCAAGGCUGAGCCAGAGAUAUAGGAUUACUGGCACCAGUGUAGCUAUGAGAAAGAUCUUGUCAUGUUGACUGACACACGGAGCCCCAGGCAGACAGACAGGGUAUCUCCAGACAAAGCACCAUUUACCUUAGUGAGAGUAGACUGUAGAAAGCUGAAAAGAUAUCGAGUUGCAUUCACAAUGAGAGCUGCACAUAUUGAGGUAGCAACUGAUUCAUUCAUCAAUGCCUUACACUGCUUCAUAACAAGAUGAGAACAAGUCAAAGAACUCUGCUUGUAUAAUGGUAACAGCUUUAUUGGCAGUUAAGAAGCUCUAUGGACUACCAGAAUCCUCCUUAGAUCCAUAAGGAGCUCCUGCAGAGAAGUAUUAAGCGAACAUUUAAUCCUCCACGAAGCCAUCAUGGAUGAGCAUGGAAGAGACUACUAAUCCAUUGGAGGACUUCAACUGUACCUUUAAGGGUACAAACUGAUGAGGAAGGUCUCCACACACUAAUCUGUGAGGUAGACAUGUUGGUACUAUCCUGUCAUUGUAAGUGUUCGUUGUAAAAAGGCAUCCUCAGAUCCUGCUGACCUGGAGGCUGUGACUCCCUACGUCCUGCUCCUCAAAGGUUUCUUUCAGAAAGCAGAUUUGUAUAGCGUCCCUUGAUGGGACAGUGUAUAGGUCUGAUUUGUUCUGGAAAAUAUGGACAAAGGAGUACUUGCCUCAGCUACAAUAAUGUCAGAAGUGAACCAGAGUCGAGCACAAUUUGGUUGCUGGAGACAUCCUAAUCAUCAUGGACCAGUCAGCACGCGGUACCUCUGGAUCAUGGAGAGAGUUAUUCUAUCUGCUCCAGAUAGGAGAGGACUAGGAUCAGGAUCAGGACCAGGAUCAGGAGCAGGAUCAGGACCAGGAUCAGGACCAGGACCAGCUGAAUGGACAGGCCUGUCAUGAAGAGCCUGAUGGAUACUCCUUGACACAACCUGUUUUGACAUGACAUGUCAAAUAUAAUCACAAUGCAUUCAAAAUAAUACAAAAACCCAAUGGAAAUAAAUACCCAUAUGAGAUUCUAAACAUGAUGACAAUACAACAGAUAAGACAUGUUGGAAAUAUGUGCGCUAACAUUAAUUAGAAUAGCUAUUCUGAAAAGAUAAGUUUUGAGCAGUGAUUCAAAAGAUUCUCCAGCCUCAGAGCAGCAACUGAGCAAUAUACCUAAGUGUGUAGAGAAAUAAAUGACGUGUCCUUCCCUUUGUCCUAGUCCCUGUAGACACCAAUCUCAUUGUCGUGGUCCAGGCCAAAGAGGAUGCCUACAUCCCUCGAACAGGGGUCCUCAGUCUGCAAGAGAUCUGGCCAGGAUGUGAAGUGAGAUAUCUGAAUGGAGGACACAUCAGUGCAUACCUGUUUAAACAGAACGUCUUCAGACGGGCCAUAUAUGAUACAUUCGACAGAUUCUGCCUGAAGUAUCCCGACCUGCACUAGCCAUGGCCGGCUGAAGCCUUCCUCCCGGGAACAGCACCAGGAUCAGUGGCUGGACAUUCCUGUCCCCAAACCAAAAGCUUUGCUUUCUAAUCAUUUAUAUCAGAUAAUUAUAGAAAAUGACUAAAACUAAAGAUAUCAAAAAUAGUUGUGGAAUAUUUGCACCAGUGUGUGUGUGGUUGUUAAACUAACACUCAGGCCUUUAGUUUGACUUUAGUAAGUGGACUUUAACCCUGUGGCAGUGCACAUUCUCCGGUGUUGUCAAUGUUUUACCUGGAGAAAUGUGGAUAGGACACACAGACACACCCUGUAAUAUUGUAUUAAAAUGACCAACAUGUACACAAGGGAGUCACAGCAAACAAUGCAGCUUGUCAUUUGAUCUGAUAGAUAUCAGCCUCACUGUUUACAGUUCACUCUCCUCAGUGGUCAGCUACUGCUAACUGGUACCCAACAUUUCACUAUAAGUGUGACAGGCUUUAUUUCUGUUUUGGGAGCAGCACAAGGACCUGUAAACGGAACUUGACUUAUCACCUUAUUAGGUUUUUAAACUUUAAGCGUUCUUUUUACCAACUCCUGAGAAAAAUAUAGCAUAGCAUACCAGUGGUUCUUCUGAUGUAUUUUAAAUAAAAGUCACUAGAGACCUGAGAUAUGUAAGAGAGUUCUAUUUUAUUCCCAGAAUGCUAGACAGAAGAGAUGAUGAAUAAUGUUGUAUUUCCCUGUGUGGCCUCAUGAUGGUGCUGAUGUCUCACUGUUACUAUGAAUAAAAACAGUGAUGAAAAAACUUAGUUUAA